CCUACGGGUGGCAGCAGUGGGGGAUAUUGCACAAUGGGGGGAACCCUGAUGCAGCGACGCCGCGUGGGUGAAGGAGUGCUUCGGCAUGUAACGCCCUAUCGGCAGGGAAGAAGCAAGACGGUACCUGACUAAGAAGCCCCGGCUAACUACGUGCCAGCAGCCGCGGUAAUACGUAGGAGGCGAGCGUUAUCCGGCUUCACUGGGUGUAAAGGGCGCGUAGACGGCCAGGCAAGCCAGGGGUGAAAGCCCGGGGCGCAACCCCGGGACUGCCCUUGGAACUGCAUGGCGGGAGGGCGGGAGGGGCAGGCGGAAGUCCUGGUGGAGCGGUGAAAUGCGUAGAUAUCAGGAGGAACACCGGCGGCGAAGGCGGCCGGCUGGACUGCGACUGACGUUGAGGCUCGAAAGCGUGGGGAGCGAACAGGAUUAGAUACCCGGGUAGUC
This 441-nucleotide ribosomal RNA is filed under the name uncultured bacterium. RNAcentral describes it as "partial 16S ribosomal RNA". It matches the Rfam family "Bacterial small subunit ribosomal RNA", at positions 338 to 795 of the family's 1533-position model. The record is from RNAcentral.